GAGGCUCUCGAGGAUGGUUUUGGUUCUCUUAGAAAAAGUCCUAGGCUGUCAAUUAAAACUACAAAAGAAUUGCAAAAAUGUAGGAAGACAACCGCAGGAGAUAGGAAGACAACCGCAGGAAAAGAAAUAAGUAUCUUAAAAUCUGAAGAAAUUUCUAAUAAGGCACUUGAAAAAGUUGUAAGUGAAAAUAAUUUCCUUUUUUGUAACUUAUAAUUUGAUUUGAUUUGUUUUUUUUUUGUUAUUGUAGCAAUGUGAGGCUCUCGAGGAUGCUUUUGGUUCUCUUAGAAAAAGUCCUAGGCUGUCAAUUAAAACUACAAAAGAAUUGCAAAAAUGUAGGAAGACAACAGCAGAAGAAGAAAUAAGCGUGUUAAAACCUGUAGAAAUUUCUAAUAAGGCACUUGAAAAAGUUCAAAGUGAGGCUCUCGAGGAUGGUUCUGGUUCUCUUAGAAAAAGUCCUAGGCUGUCAAUUAAAACUACAAAAGAAUUGCAAAAAUGUAGGAAGACAACCGCAGGAGAAGAAAUAAGCAUGUUAAAACCUGAAGAAAUUUCUAAUAAGGCACUUGUAAAAGUUGUAAGUGAAAAUAAUUACCUUUGUUGCUACUUAUAAUUUGAUUUGAUUUGUUUUUUUUUUUGUUAUUGUAGCAAAGUGAGGCUCUCGAGGAUGGUUUUGGUUCUCUUAGAAAAAGUCUUAGGCUGUCAAUUAAAACUACAAAAGAAUUGCAAAAAUGUAGGAAGACAACAGCAGAAGAAGAAAUAAGCGUGUUAAAACCUGUAGAAAUUUCUAAUAAGGCACUUGAAAAAGUUCAAAGUGAGGCUCUCGAGGAUGGUUCUGGUUCUCUUAGAAAAAGUCCUAGGCUGUCAAUUAAAACUGCAAAAGAAUUGCAAAAAUGUAGGAAGACAACAGCAGGAGAAGAAAUAAGCAUGUUAAAACCUGAAGAAAUUUCUAAUAAGGCACUUGUAAAAGUUGUAAGUGAAAAUAAUUACCUUUGUUGCUACUUAUAAUUUGAUUUGAUUUGUUUUUUUUUUUUGUUAUUGUAGCAAAGUGAGGCUCUCGAGGAUGGUUUUGGUUCUCUUAGAAAAAGUCCUAGGCUGUCAAUUAAAACUACAAAAGAAUUGCAAAAAUGUAGGAAGACAACAGCAGAAGAAGAAAUAAGCGUGUUAAAACCUGUAGAAAUUUCUAAUAAGGCACUUGAAAAAGUUCAAAGUGAGGCUCUCGAGGAUGGUUCUGGUUCUCUUAGAAAAAGUCCUAGGCUGUCAAUUAAAACUGCAAAAGAAUUGCAAAAAUGUAGGAAGACAACAGCAGGAGAAGAAAUAAGCAUGUUAAAACCUGAAGAAAUUUCUAAUAAGGCACUUGAAAAAGUUGUAAGUGAAAAUAAUUAGUUUUUUUAUAACUUAUAAUUUGAUUUAAUUUGUUUUUUUUUUUUGUUAUUGUAGCAAA
Acyrthosiphon pisum (pea aphid) is the source of this 1438-nucleotide long non-coding RNA. RefSeq lists it as uncharacterized. The transcript is spliced from 4 exons. The record is from RefSeq and is a predicted model, not a curated record. NCBI's taxonomy places the organism in Eukaryota, Metazoa, Arthropoda, Insecta, Hemiptera, Aphididae.